UGGGACGCCGCCUCAAUGUGGCCUGACGAGCGGUGCCAUGUCCGCGCCCAGGAUCCGAACCCUGGGCCACUGCAGAGGAGCGCGCGAACUUAACCACUCGGCCACGGAGCCGGCCCCCAUAACAGGAUUUUUAAGGAUAUUUCUCACAUAAAGAUGAAACCAGCUCUUCUUUUUCUUAUCUCCCAAGACAAGAUCAUCGUGAAGGGAAUUUUCAGAAUAUCCUAAUUAUUUUUCUAUGUUGCCAAUUGUUUCUCUAUAGAGUUUGUGCUCUGGUCAGAACUCAAAUUUGAAGGGAAACCAGAAAAUGUGGUUGUUUGGGGAAACUUUCUAUGAGACAGGAGAAAGCUUUUAUUUUUUAUUUUUUUAGCUACUAAUACUUUUACAACACUUUAAAUGUCUAACCACCUAACUAAUCUCAUUCAAUCUUCCUAACAACUGUAUGAGGGAGCUGUUUUUGUUUUUUAAUUCCUAUUUUAUAAAUGAGAAAACUGAGGCACAAGAAAUGUACAACUGCCUGAAGGUCACAUGAAGAAGGGAGAACUGGAACUCUGAACUAAAGCUGGUACUCUUUCCUUGAUGUAGUGCUUUUCACCUGGAAAUAACCUAAACCAGGGCCUUGAGGAGAGUCAAGCCUGAUUCUCCUGCAGCCCCUUCUCUCCUUCUAGCAAAUGGGCCCCAGACCAUUUCUCAUUCUCUUGAACUAAAGGUUGAGAGCUUUCACCCAACUGGAUUCAGUACCUACCUGGCCAUGCCUCCCUCCUAAGAGAAUACUGAGAGCUGAGAGGACACUCAGAGACUGCAGCAGUGCUAGCAAUGGGGAGACACCUACCACGCGGCUUCAUACACCCUUCUUUCAAGGACAAAGUCUUUUUUCCAGCUGACUGGGGUCUUGGGACAACAUGGAAAUAUGAAGAACUGGUAUCUCAUCAGAAAACUGACAUCGUUCACUAUACACAUCAGCUGUGGGCUUUGAAAUGGAAGCCAAGAGGAAAUCUUUCCAUUUCUUGAUGUAUGCCCUUUAAAAUGGAACCUACUGAAGACCCCCCAGUGGAAAUCCAACAGGGUAGGUCUGGCAGUUAAUAGAGAUUAGAAGUGCCUGCUCAU
This 1104-nucleotide long non-coding RNA is filed under the name Equus caballus (horse). Its description in RNAcentral is "lncRNA (ENSECAG00000037406.2)". The record is from RNAcentral. Lineage: Eukaryota; Metazoa; Chordata; Mammalia; Perissodactyla; Equidae.